Molecule: long non-coding RNA, 774 nt
Filed under: Parus major (Great Tit)
Lineage: Eukaryota; Metazoa; Chordata; Aves; Passeriformes; Paridae
Description: lncRNA (ENSPMJG00000006761.1)
Source: RNAcentral
GGAGCAGGGCAAGGUUUCUGUAGUGCAGCUCAAGCCAAAAACACAUCAGCAUUUACACACACACACACACACACACACACAUAUAUAUAUAUAUAUAUAAUCUUUCUUCAGUUUUUAGUUUAAAUGAUCAAGCUUCAUUUUCUUUCCUGGAGUGGAAGCAAUACAAACAAAUGUCCCUGCUGCCAAUCCAGCUGCUCCUGGGGGAUGUUCCUGCCAUGAAGUGUCCUGGGAUAUCUGAACCACCCUGCUGGUCCUCCUGUGCCCAGGUGCUGUGCUGUUACUGUUCCAGCUUUGAUCUCCUUCAGGUGCAGCUGUGGAUGUGCAGGGCAGCACUCACAGGGGAGCAAUUCCCAGAGUGGUGUGAGCAGCAGGGACUCGCUGCCCUCGCUUGUGGCAACUCGGCCUGGAAGGAUCCCAAUCCCUCAAGGUCAGAUGGUCUUGUCAGGAAUAUGUGAUUCCUGCUGGAAAUUAUUUCCAUGAGAUCAGAUGGAUAGAUAUAAUUAGCAGAACCAAACCAGAUAGGAUUCUUACAGGAGCAGCUGUGCAGCCAACAAAGUUAUUGUAUCAGAGAUUUUUUUUUUCAGUAAGUAUUUUACACAGAGUCAUAUUUCUUUUCACAACAAAUUGGAUCUUAUCCCAAAAGGAUUUGCUUUAUAGCAAAGCCAGACAAAGAAAGUAAAGCUCAUGGUUUGUUCUCGUGUCUCAAAAUGUUGUGAUAGGCUGAACUGUGCAUGGCAUAAUAAAGUGUUCCAUAGCCCUGAGUUUUAUUGUAAG